Molecule: long non-coding RNA, 2401 nt
Filed under: Fragaria vesca (wild strawberry)
Lineage: Eukaryota; Viridiplantae; Streptophyta; Magnoliopsida; Rosales; Rosaceae
Description: long non-coding RNA (FVES_LNC000379)
Source: RNAcentral
UUACCUGUGCAGCAAACCCUAAGACUCCAAUAUAAAUUAAGGGUUUCAUUUGAAGCAUUCUUCACUUCAAGCUCUUCAACCGUCGCCGUCUUUUGAGGUCUCAGCAGUACUCUUCUUUUUCUUCUCUCUCCUGUUUGUUUUUGUUUUGAUCAUCGGCUCGACUACUCAGGUUUGCAAAACCGCCUAGAUCACUGAUCCCCUCCUUAUUUAUUUUAUUUGCAUUGCAGGUUACAGAGAGCUUUGGGUUUGGCCACCCCAUGGUUCCAUCGACAGCAGAAGAAAUCUUUCCUGAUAAGGCACAAUGCUAUCUUUUUCUCUGAUGAGUCUGUGAGUUCUCCUUUUUUUUGUGUGUGUGUGUGUGAAAGAAGUCAAGUUUGAUAGGUACCAGCAUCACGCACCAUUGUUGCUUCAUGUCAAGGAAGAAAAUUUCGGUGAUUACGGAAAUUUCGACUCUCCAAAAUAUGGAAAUUUCGACGGAAAUUUCGGGGAAAUAUCGAUUGUAGUAAAAAAAAUGAGAAAAUUGACGGAAAUUUGAAGAAAAACAAGGAAAUUUUAAACCAAACUUUAAGAGAUGUUUGUUUUCUAUAUUAUGUACUAUAUUUGAAAUGAAAACCUUGAAUAAACAUUGAUCUAUAGGGAGUUGUAGUAAGUUAAAGUGAAAAGGUUAGUGCUGAACCGUUAAUAAUUCUUAAAAGUUUACUUUAAACAUUUUUUUUCUUUUUUUUUGAUGGUUGGAAACCCAAAAGGAGGCUAAGCUAUCACGUCUUAUAUACAUAUAAGAAGUGUAGGUUAGGUAGUUAUAAAUGAAUUAAGAAGUGUAGGUUAGGUAGUUAUAAAUGAAUUUUUUUUGAAAGGUAGAUAUAUUAAAAAUGAAUUAAGAAGUGUAGGUAAAAAUGUUUUUUUUUAUGGAAGUGUAGGUAAAAAAGCUAGUUGAACAUUAUACAUUUACCUAAUAUUUUACUUUUACUUUUUAAAUUCGGAAAAAAAACCAAUAUAUAUUAUAAAAAUAGUAAAAUAAACAAGUUGGAUGAUUAGUAGGGUUGGUUAAGGUGUUAACCUUAUACCAACCCAAGGUUCGAAACCCUUGGCUGCCAAAAAUUAUUUUGCUUGUGUAAAAGUGCAAACAAGUCAAACUACUGACUUUUCAAAGUCCAAAUGUUCAGCGGAGGACCACACUGAGUCACUGACACACCACAUGCAUUCAAAUAUCCAUUCAAACUUUCAAAAUUCGGCGGCAAAAUAUUUAGGCGGGAUAAUUUUCUGGGAGAUUUCGAAACUUUCGACGAUAUAUCGAUAAUUUCGGGCCAAAAAAUCUGAGGGGAGAAAUUUGUUUCGCCGAGUGAAAAAAACGAUAUUUUCGGCGAACUAUCUAGAAUAAAUGAUUUAGGUGACAAAGAGGUUUCAUCGCCUAAAUGCUCAUUUUUGUUGCUUAACAGUUGUCGUAUCAGCAUGAACUCGUAAGAAGGUGACGAAUAAAAAAAUAAUGGUCCCCUAAGAUUUAGGCGACUAUUUAUUCAUCGUCGCAUAAGUCUAAAAUGAGGAAAAUAGACACAUUCAUGCGUCGAAAUUAUUGUCGCCAAUAUUUGAUGACAAAUAAAAAUUAUGGUCGCCUUAGUUUCCUUUUCCGAAUUUAAUUUCCAAUAUUAAAUUUGUGACGGAAAAAAGAAAAAAAAUAUAUUUUUAUUAAAUUUGUGAAUUUUCUGUUUUUGUUUUUGUUUUCUUUUAGGUUCUUUUCUUUUAGGUCCUUUCUUGUUUUAGGUUCGUUUUGGACGGUUACUGGGUUUCUAGUAUUGUCACAACCACCACCGCCGCCGCCUCCCACAACACCUCCGACUCCAACUUCUUACAACCCAGAUCCAAUCAACCCCAAACAACCAAAUAUCUUACAACCGAGAUCAAGCAACAGAGAUCGCCUCUGUAGUCAUCUGCAAAAAUGCAAACUCAGUUCUCCGAUCACAAAUUAACCAAGGCCAAAAUGGUAUAUUAAUGGUAAGAUUUACAUACCUCGACGAAGGGAAGGUGAGCGGGCGGCGAUCGCGGUCGGCGGCCAUGACAAUCGGAGCGGUUGAGAUUUGAUUCCACCGUUUGGCGGUUUUGAUUUGCGUGCUCAGAUCUGCAUACUCUUUCGCCGGCGACCCAGCCCCUUCGCCAGUGACCCAAAUUUGCAUGCCCGACUCGCGUGCUCGUCAUGGGACGAAGACCAGAGGGAGAGCUUGAGUCUAGGGGUCUCAGUCGGUGCGUGGAAAUUGGGGGAGAAGAGAGGUGAGAGAGGAGAGGGAGAGAAGAGAGAAGAGAGAAGAGAGAAGAGAGAAGAGAGUUCAAAGAAAAAAAAAGGAAAAAUUUAAGUUUACUCCCCUGAACUUUAAGUCUAAAAUACAGUCCGAUACCUCAUCUUUUUUUU